UUUUUAGUAUUAUUUUAAUAUGCUUAAAUUAUCAUUAUCUUUAAUAGUUUUCAUAAGACUUUAUUACUCUUAUAUUGAGAGUAUUAUUGAAUACUCUACAAUAAUAUAUUUUUUGUGUUAUUUCACUACUACAAAAUACCCUUUACGGGACACUUUUUUAGGACAUGCACAUAAAUGCAAGUCCUUAAAAAUAUUUAUGAAGUUUUUAGGACACUCAUUGAGAGUCCUAAAAAAACGCAAUUAAGGACUCGCAAUGAGUGUCCUAAAAGAAAAUGCGAGUCCUAAAAAAAUCUGGGCUAUAAAAAUAAGUGUUUUACUUAAUGUUUUUAAGGACUUGCUUUGAGAGUCCUUAAUACUUUUUUAGGACUCGCAAUGAGUGUCCUAAAAGAAUCUGCGAGUCCUAAAAAAUCUGGGCUAAAAAAAAAGUGUCUUGCUUAAUAAAUUUAAGGUCUUUCUUUGGGAGUCCUUAAUACUUUUUUAGGACUCCUAAAAAAGUAUUAAGGACUCCCAAAACAAGCCCUUAAAUAUUUUAUUUAUUAGUAGUAUAAAAUUAGAGUUUUAUAAUCAUAUUUUUUUUAUUUGAAUAAUAUAAUCAGAUUUUUAUUUAUAAAAUAAAAAUAUAUAUAUGUAUAUAAGUGAAAAAUCAUUUUCUUCCUCCCUCCCUACCCGAUCCACUUUCCUUUCUCCCUCUCUCUCUCGCAUGCUCUCUGCUAGCCCGAAUGGCUGCCCUCCGAUGGUCGCUGCCGUGUAGGCACCGGAUCAAGAGUACCAGACACCGCCGAAACUCCAGCCUCACGAGCCCUUCGUUGCCGUUCUCCGCCGCGAGCAAAAGCCUCCAGGCUCGUACGUCACCGCCGUGGCUUCAAGGCCAAUUUCUGGCCUCCUCUGACAUCGUCUCAGGCGAAGGGUACCAUGGGUGAACUCAGGGUAUCAAGACGAACAAAGCCCAUCCAAGGAUCGGGCUUUUAAGUGACCGAAGGAGACGGAAUCAGCUCUCCAGUUGCUGCUUGUAGUCUUCUUCUCGAGACCAAGUUCUAAAUGUCAUGUUCAUCCACAUGAGAGGGGUAUAGUUGAUUUCCACCCUAUAUAUUUCCAUUCAAAUGAGGCUAGUGGAUCUAUGAAACCAAUUACUUAUGGUUCCAUAUAAUUAACGACAGUUGACCAAUCAAGAUUUAGAAGGACUCGAGUUACUGAGGGUGGGUUUUGAUGAAUACAUGAAUUUGGUUCUUGAUGAUGCUGAAGAAGUCAAUGUCAAGAAUUUGGGGCUCGGUAGGGACGGUGGCUGGGCUGGGCUCGGGGCUGGCUGGUGGGGUUCUCAACUUCACGGCGACGACACUAUAGCUCACGGCGGCAACAAGAAAAUAGAUGUAGUGGCGGUAAGAUUCGUGGAUGCUUGGAGAUUGUGUAUCGAUGAUGAAUGGAGUCAAGGAGUCGAGAGUUCGAUUUCGAGGAUGUAGUCAUUUGUUUAUGGUCUUUAUAUGUAUUUUCCGCACUUACUAUGUAAUCCCUUUAUUUUAUAAAUCAUGUUAUGUUUUGUUUUUCAAACAAUGGGAUCCCAUAUCCUUCUUGGUAUUUAUGUAAGUAACUCUUAUUUCUAUAAGUUUUCUAAUAAAAUUAUGGUA
Humulus lupulus (European hop) is the source of this 1622-nucleotide long non-coding RNA. RefSeq lists it as uncharacterized. The transcript has 5 exons. NCBI's taxonomy places the organism in Eukaryota, Viridiplantae, Streptophyta, Magnoliopsida, Rosales, Cannabaceae. The record is from RefSeq and is a predicted model, not a curated record.